This 45-nucleotide non-coding RNA is filed under the name Schistosoma mansoni. Lineage: Eukaryota; Metazoa; Platyhelminthes; Trematoda; Strigeidida; Schistosomatidae. The record is from RNAcentral.
ACCUAGUUGAUGAGUCCCAAAUAGGACGAAACGUGCGUUCUAGAU